RNAcentral lists this unclassified non-coding RNA (151 nucleotides) under Cladosporium sphaerospermum. RNAcentral's name for it is "ITS2". The record is from RNAcentral. Lineage: Eukaryota; Fungi; Ascomycota; Dothideomycetes; Cladosporiales; Cladosporiaceae. RNAcentral also lists the same sequence under 1 other name.
CACCACUCAAGCCUCGCUUGGUAUUGGGCGACGCGGUCCGCCGCGCGCCUCAAAUCGACCGGCUGGGUCUUUCGUCCCCUCAGCGUUGUGGAAACUAUUCGCUAAAGGGUGCCGCGGGAGGCCACGCCGUAAAACAACCCCAUUUCUAAGG